UACGGGGGGGGCAAGCGUUGUUCGGAAUUACUGGGCGUAAAGCGCACGUAGGCGGAUUGCUAAGUCAGGGGUGAAAUCCUGGAGCUCAACUCCAGAACUGCCUUUGAUACUGGCGACCUUGAGUCCGGGAGAGGUGAGUGGAACUGCGAGUGUAGAGGUGAAAUUCGUAGAUAUUCGCAAGAACACCAGUGGCGAAGGCGGCUCACUGGCCCGGUACUGACGCUGAGGUGCGAAAGCGUGGGGAUCAAACAGG
RNAcentral lists this ribosomal RNA (253 nucleotides) under uncultured bacterium. Its description in RNAcentral is "partial 16S ribosomal RNA". It matches the Rfam family "Bacterial small subunit ribosomal RNA", at positions 524 to 776 of the family's 1533-position model. The record is from RNAcentral.